GGGCUGCACCUGCACGUGGCGCCAGGGGUCAGGCUGCAGCGCCAGAGGACAUGCUCACACAUAACUGGGGCCACCUGUUUUGAUGGCAGCCCUUUGAACUGUGAGCUACAUAG
Small nucleolar RNA from Ictidomys tridecemlineatus (thirteen-lined ground squirrel), 113 nucleotides. The record is from Ensembl. NCBI's taxonomy places the organism in Eukaryota, Metazoa, Chordata, Mammalia, Rodentia, Sciuridae.